GGCAGUUCUCAGGUGACGUACCCCAGAAUCAGGCUCCCUCCUCUCUGGUUCUGGAUGCAUCACCCGAGAACCGCA
Molecule: non-coding RNA, 75 nt
Organism: Myotis davidii
Lineage: Eukaryota; Metazoa; Chordata; Mammalia; Chiroptera; Vespertilionidae
Source: Rfam